AUUCCUUUUUUGGUCUCUUUCAGUUAUAAGUAGUAGUGCCGCAGGUAACCGAUUUCAAUGGUUUACCUACUGCCUCCUGCUUAGAAUUGAAAUUUCGAUGACCGUCUU
Molecule: microRNA precursor, 108 nt
Filed under: Caenorhabditis brenneri
Lineage: Eukaryota; Metazoa; Nematoda; Chromadorea; Rhabditida; Rhabditidae
Description: pre miRNA CBN33789
Rfam family: microRNA mir-251 microRNA precursor family (bases 26-86)
Source: RNAcentral